UUUUAAUCCAACAUGGAGGUCGCAAACUUAUUCAUCGAUAUGAACUCUCCGAAUAAAUUACGCUGUUAUCCCUAAGGUAAGUUAAUCUUAUAAUCAAAAAUUCUGGAUCAAAAAAACAUAAAUUAAUGAAUUAUUAUAUUAAAAGUUUAAAGAAUUUUAAUGUCACCCCAACAAAACUAUAUAUUCUAAAAAUAAAUUUUAAAAACUAAAAAUAAAAAUUUAUAAAUAUAGUAAACUUCUAUAGGGUCUUCUCGUCCUAUAAAAAAAUUUUAGCUUUUUAACUAAAAAAUUAAAUUCAAUAUAAUAAAAAAAAGAAAGACUAUUUUUCAUGAAACCAUUCAUUCUAGCCUCCAAUUAAAAGACAAAUGAUUAUGCUACCUUCGUACAGUUAAAAUACCGCAGCCUUUUAAUUCUAAAAAAUCAAUGGGCAGGUAUGAUCUUAUAUUAAAAUCAAAAGACCAUGUUUUUGUUAAACAGGCG
Molecule: ribosomal RNA, 480 nt
Filed under: Eurygerris fuscinervis
Lineage: Eukaryota; Metazoa; Arthropoda; Insecta; Hemiptera; Gerridae
Description: partial 16S ribosomal RNA
Source: RNAcentral